UGAGCAGGGAUUGUGUGUAUCGGCGUAGUGCUAGAAUCAAUGCACUCUGAUCCGAAAGAGUUCCCUGCAAUAUCAAAUUCGGGGAAGGUGGGCAGUUGUUUUUCAUGUUUACCCAUUGAAAUUUCAACAAUCAUCUUCCCCAUAUCU
Molecule: small nucleolar RNA, 147 nt
Organism: Prunus persica (peach)
Lineage: Eukaryota; Viridiplantae; Streptophyta; Magnoliopsida; Rosales; Rosaceae
Rfam family: small nucleolar RNA snoR135
Source: Rfam